This 784-nucleotide long non-coding RNA is filed under the name Vulpes vulpes (red fox). Its description in RNAcentral is "lncRNA (ENSVVUG00000029360.1)". The record is from RNAcentral. Lineage: Eukaryota; Metazoa; Chordata; Mammalia; Carnivora; Canidae.
UGGAAUGUGUCAUUGAAAAAUUUACUUAAACUACAGGGUAAGAGAAAUACAGGUCUCCAUUCUUUCUAGCUGGAUUGGCUCAGUGUUCUCUGGCCGGUGGGUUUCCUUGAAGCCGUGUCUCUUAAUGGCCAUCACCGCAGCAGAAGCCAGCUGUGAGAGCAGACACCAGCUCGUUCCAGAUGUGGAAUGCUACGCAGAAGCACCAGAGGACCCUCUAAAGGUGCCUUGGUCAUGUGAGAAAGUGGAAAGGAACUACAAAAAAGUCAAAGUAAAUACGGGAAGCAACAAAAGGAGGUUGAAUGAGCUAAAAUGACCCUGGAGAGACUUGUACUCAUUGAGGGUGUAGAUGGGUAGGCAAGCCCCAAGUGUUGAGGAGUGAAUGGCUAAGCCAAAUUCUGUGGGAAGUGGCCUAGGAGGAGGCUCUUGUCUCUGAACUCUGCAAGGACAGGUGAGCACAGCAGCUACUGCACUGUGAUUUCCCACCCCUGACGUCAAUACUUCAUCCGCUGUGAAGAACGACUCUGGGUUGUCCAGUCUGCACACUGUGAAGAGCCGACAUGAAAUUAAAACACUCUGUUGCUUUCCAGUGCUUUCGAAUCCUCUCUAAAAAGAAUUCUCUUCAUUUCUUUGAUGAGUAUCAUCUUUUAUGCGUAGUGUUUUGUUUAGCUUAAUUUCCACAGCAACCACAGCAAAUUCAGCGCCUUGCCCCAGUGCCUGUCCACAGAGUCACAGUAUAAUAUGUACUUGUUGAAAAAAAUAAAUAAAUGCAUGUAAAAAUGAGACA